GACUGCUCCUGUGGCCUUGUGGUUAGAGCGUUUGCCUCAGAUGCACGAGGUCGUGGGUUCAAUUCCCCGUCGAGUCA
This is a non-coding RNA of Potamilus streckersoni, 77 nucleotides long. The record is from the annotation of a GenBank genome assembly. NCBI's taxonomy places the organism in Eukaryota, Metazoa, Mollusca, Bivalvia, Unionida, Unionidae.